UAUGUUGUGUCAACGCUUCCGUUGUGAUCUACAAGGGUACGUAGAUCAGAUUCUCCCCCUCGUUGCUAUGCAUCACCAUGAUCUUGCGUGUGCGUAGGAAAAUUUUGAAAUUACUACGUUCCCCAACACCUAUUCCCCCGAGGGCCCCGAUCGCAAGUCGCAACGCAGAUGUAGAUUGCUCUCUGCCAUGCGGCCGGCUGUUCUUCCUCUAGGUCCCCGGUCCCGUUGUGUUAUGCCCCGUCCGUGAGAUGCCUCUCAUGUGCAAGACGAAGCCACCCCACUUAUAAGGUCAUCCCUAACCUCCUCUUUCUAGUUGGUCACGUUCAUAUGGUGCAACAGCAGUCAGAUCUUAGAAGGUUUCGCAUAUGAUGCAGUACAAAAUUUUAAUUUUAUGUGCCCGUUGCUCUAUUUCUUACUUCAGUCUAGACUUUGUCGGCACAACACCAAUCGCCUUAUCUAUUGAAAAAGUUGCCUGUUAUGUGUUCGAUUGUCGUUCUUUGCAUUCUCUCUCCAAAUCAUCAUGAUUGCAAAUUUAACUUAAAAAUUGGAAGAAGGUCUCAGCUAUACACACAUAACUUCAAUCCAAAAAGAAAUGAGACUCAGACUCCCGUAGUCGUCGGGUAGGUAAAUGAUCUUUUAUUAUUGCAAAUGAAGCUUUUAAACUUUAAACAUUUCAUCUUGAUGUUUGCCCUCUAUCAGGUAUUCGAUUUGUCUAAUUAAGUAAAGGAAUACACUACUUACAAUUUUUGUUUUAUUUUGAAACAAUAGACAAUAAUAAGUUAGGUAAAGGAAUGAAUCUAAAAAGAAAUGAGAUUAUUAUUUUGAUCUUUAUAGUAGGGGCCCCGGGUUGUAAUUUCGCCCUGGGCCCUCGAAAUAUCAGGACCGGCCCUGAUUGAUGUCUCUAUAGUCUGAAACUCAAUGCGACCAUAAUUAAUUUCCUUCUACCAAAUUCCUUUCAUUCCCAUCUAUAAAAAGUUUCUUUUUAUGCACGUUCAGUGCUCAAUUCAAGUAGGCUCACCAAGGGAUACCUAAUUUUUUUGACAUUUUGGUGCAAAGUAGCUUAAUUUGCCUCUCCUACUGUUUUCUUCAGAAUUAGAUGUUGAAAAUGGUGUUGGAACUCUAUUUGAUUUUUGCUGCAUUCUUAGUUGUUAUUAUUGAUCAACAACGAAAGAGUUGAUAAAAUUCAAAUUUAGUUCUCAAUUCUUUUCGGUUCAUUUAAUUAUAAAGAUAUGUAUUCCUAGGUCGACGGUGGUCCAACCGCACCCUUCUUUAAAACAAUAGGGUUUGGAGUCCCAUGUGUUACAAAUUUCAUACCAUUUAAACGAAACAUAGAAAAGAACAAGCUAUGUUUAUCUAUGACAUUAAGCAACAACCAAUGUUUAUCUGCCGCAUUUAUAAAAAGAAAUCUUUAGCUACAGCAUUAAAACUAACCCAAUCUUUAGCUACAACAGUUAAGGCUUCCCUAUCUUUCGCUACAACAUUUAAAAUUAGACAUGACAUUUAAGACUUCCCUAUCUUUAGCUACAACAUUUAAGACUAGACGAUAAAGUCACUAGCUAUGUUUGGCAAUGUAAAAAUACAACAAUUUGGAUAACCCAUUCAAUUAGUGUUUGUUACUGAUGAGUAAUUACAAUACUAGUUACAGUUCUGCUAUAUAUAUGGACCAGGGCAAGUAAUGGAUACAUAUAAAAACCCAGUGAAUUUCUCACACAAUGGGGAAGCACAUCAAGCACAAUGCCCAACUUGUUGUCUUGCUUUCCAUGGUUCUUCUAAGUUGCCUGGUUUCUUCAGUCGUACAAGGUAAUGAACAAUUGUAAAUAAUUAUUUCAUGAAAUUUCAGUGUUCAUCCUUAUGUUUAAAGUUUGUUUUGUCAACCUUGAGUACUCACCCCUUGGAAAGAUCUAGAGUGGUUUUCUACAUAGGCAUUAUCUACAUGUUCAUAUACAAAAUGAAAUUACCUUCAUGUUGAGAUGAUAUAAAUCUAUUUGUUUUUCACUUCAGGACAGAGCAUUGACGACAAGGGGAGCAGCACAACGACUAUACGACCUAACGAUGACCCCGACUGUGUGAGAGAGACGAAGUUGAAGUGGCCGCGGAAACGACAGUACUGCUGCAACUAUUUUGCAUAUACUGGUCCAUGCUACGAUGACUAUACUGUCUGCAAAGCCCAUUGCCCGUGAUUCAACACAAUUCCCAUGAAUAGUUUUCAUGUAAUAAGGAAUAGAUGAUAUGCAAUAAGUUUUCCUAUCAAUAUUUACUUUUCCAAUUGCUUAAGUGAAUAAAGAUAUGAUUUCCAAAAUUAUUAUGGUGCUUGUACUUAUCCCUAUCAACUGUUUUAUCAAAAAUACAUUUUUUAUGCAACAGAGACACACCGCUGGCACUAAAGUGCAACGUAACAAAGGGUGGCCAGGAUGGUGGCCUAGAAUUUUUUCCACGGGCUCACUUGUGUGUACUUGAGCCCAAGAAAGACCAAAAUAGGAUUAUUUUUGCACAGAUAAAGAUGUGAUUUCUAAAUUAUUAUUAUCCUUG
Molecule: long non-coding RNA, 2529 nt
Filed under: Triticum aestivum (bread wheat)
Lineage: Eukaryota; Viridiplantae; Streptophyta; Magnoliopsida; Poales; Poaceae
Description: long non-coding RNA (TAES_LNC011003)
Source: RNAcentral